This 242-nucleotide ribosomal RNA is filed under the name uncultured Eubacteriales bacterium. RNAcentral's name for it is "uncultured Clostridiales bacterium partial 16S ribosomal RNA". It matches the Rfam family "Bacterial small subunit ribosomal RNA", at positions 92 to 334 of the family's 1533-position model. Lineage: Bacteria; Bacillati; Bacillota; Clostridia; Eubacteriales. The record is from RNAcentral.
UUAGCGGCGGACGGGUGAGUAACACGUGAGUAACCUGCCUUAGACAUUGGGAUAGCCUCGGGAAACCGGGAUUAAUACCAAAUAAAAUCAUAAUGACACAUGUCAUAACGAUCAAAACUCCGGUGGUCUAAGAUGGACUCGCGUCCCAUUAGCUAGUUGGUAGAGUAAAAGCCUACCAAGGCGACGAUGGGUAGCCGGCCUGAGAGGGUGAACGGCCACAUUGGGACUGAGAUACGGCCCAG